GCCUGAGUGGCUCAGUCGGUUGGGCAUCUGACUUUGACUCAGGUCAUGAUCUCACAGUUUGUGGGUUCGAGCCCCGCAUCGGGCU
This 85-nucleotide transfer RNA is filed under the name Felis catus (domestic cat). It matches the Rfam family "tRNA". Rfam says of the family: Transfer RNA (tRNA) molecules are approximately 80 nucleotides in length. The record is from Rfam by way of RNAcentral. Lineage: Eukaryota; Metazoa; Chordata; Mammalia; Carnivora; Felidae.